This is a long non-coding RNA of Lytechinus variegatus (green sea urchin), 2536 nucleotides long. RefSeq lists it as uncharacterized. Lineage: Eukaryota; Metazoa; Echinodermata; Echinoidea; Temnopleuroida; Toxopneustidae. The transcript has 2 exons. The record is from RefSeq and is a predicted model, not a curated record.
AAUCAGAUAGCCUGGGAAACCCGUCACGGGACGAGACCCAUAAAACCCCCUCGCCACAUAUAAGCCUCCUCUUUCGUUACCGCGACGUCGUUGAGUACACUCGAAACGUUUAGCCACCGCGCAAUUUUUUUUAUGAAUCACGAUGUCUGAUGAAAUAAACAUUAUUAUUUUCCAACCCUAAAGAUCUCAAUAAAAAGGGGAGAUCAACUCGGUCAAGAUAAAGCCGAGGGCCAUUAUCUCGGUCAAGACAAAGCCGAGAAGAAAUAACAGCACGAUGAUAAGGCGGCCAAGAUAAAGCCGAAGAAUAAGAAGUCUAACACUUAUAACCCGGCCAAGACAACGCCGGCUAAUGACACUACACAAUCAGACACCCAGCCCCUUAGGCGGGAGGUAGACAAGGGUACGGAUAAAUCGGAAGAGGCUGUUUACACUCCUUCCGAUCGGGGUAACUCCUCAUCAAAGAGUAUAGGGCGGGCAAGAAGAAGCCUCGCGAUGACCACUCGUGUUCUAAUGACAAUCAGGCUCGAGUUAACGACCCACUACAACCCCUAUAUUUUAUAAGAAGCUUCGACUGGCCCGGGAUUGUGACCGGUCAGUCCAUUCAUUGCCAGACCCCGCCGAGACGGGUCAUCAUCAGUUAUCUAUAGUACAGUCCACCAGGUUGGUGUAUCAUCGUACUUGUAGAAUUGUGCAGAAGUUCAUACAGUGCUGUGGAAUUAAGAUCUAUUCUACGUACAUGCGGUUUAAAAUAAUAAUAAUUAAGAGAAAUUAUUAACAAUUGUAGUAGUUGGAUCUUGGAAGCCUUGCAGGCGAUCCUCCCCCAUCGGGUGCUGCAAUCGACCCAUCCCGACCCCAAGCCGCCCGAGACAAUGAGCUAAUGAAAACUCGACUCAUUCUAGACCAUAAUUCAAUGCUCUAGACGUAGAGAGAGAGGCCUAGAUCGCCUCAUACAGAUCGCGGAGUUGGGGCUAAUGAUAACUCGCCUCGUACUAGCCGUAGAUAAUAGGAGUUUUCCAUCGUGGGAGAAUCUGAUUCGGAAUUCGAUUACCACCGACCCAAUUCAUUAAAAGAGAUUGGGGGCGAUUUCCCCCAUCAAAUCCUUAUACACUGUAAAAAAAAAAAAAAAACGUGAUUUUACAGAAAAUAAACAGAAGAUUAUGCAGAAAGCAAUAACAGAAUCAUUCUGUAAAUUCAUUAAACAGGAACCUUUCUGCAAUUCAACAGAACAGACUCUGCUGCAGGAACUUCUUUUAUUUUAAGGAUAAAUUUUCUAACAGUGUAGCAGCUCCUUGCAUUCCCUGAAAGCUGCCCAGCAAAUGGGAUUCGAUCGAAGAGAUUCACCAUUAGGGGUACGAGAGAGUUCUGGCUUACUCAAACGUGAUACUCCGACUAGUGGGAACAUGCCUUUUAAAUACUGCCCUCAUCUUCGGGCCGAAAACAGUAUACCAGUAGCGUAUACGUACGUAGCUAGCGAAUAAUGAGCGAGAGAGAAGUCAAUCUUCCGCCUGAACUCGUCCGUCUGCGAUCAAGAUGGACGUUCCGUAUAUAGAUCCUGCUUUCGGGACGUCCGCUCCCAGAUAAGCAACACUCUCGGCCUAUACCCAUCAGUAAAGAAGUCUCGAACUUUAUCGGUUUGCCGCUCAAGACUUUGAGGAUUUUGUGUGCAUCCCUUCGGCCCCGGACGUUGCUUUCCGUGUCGGAGAUGCGGGAGCGAGGAAGACUAGAUCGGGCCGUAACCCUCGCCGCGGCACUGGUUACCACUCAGCCGACUAUCAGCUUACAGUUGCAGCGCUGGACGUGGCCGCCCGGAGCGGUAUGGUUUUCGCGAUGUACUACGAGGGGUAUCUGAUAUCCGCUCGUAGUGAAGCUGAGCGGCUUGGACUGAGUCUCUACCAAUGACAAGAACUUAUUGCUAGAGUCACAAAAUCGCUGAUCUCCAGUAUGAGCAAGCAGCAAUCAACACUGCUAUGCACAAGGGCAAGGAGGGCUAAAGACUAGAUGCUCUCAAGAUGAUUGAGAAAGGGGCAGCUACUGAGCUGGACUUCUCAUUCUCAAUAAGCUUCCUUGCGAAGGUAAGGACUUGUUUAUGGACACUUUCAUGAAGUAUUGCACAAGUCUUUUUCAGCCAACACCACAGCUGACAAGACUUUUUAUUAGCUCUCCUCGAGUAGACCUAGUCCGCCAGGCCCUAGUCCAGGGCCAGGCCCAGACCAGAGACCUCCAUACGCUAGCUCUAGCUCCAUACCCUAGACCUAUAAUGAACUUAAAAGGUCAUCCCCCUCUUCCCUUGCUCUGGUAGCGACGCCAGGAAUGAAAGGGGCCGCUGGGAAAGUCAUAGGAAUCCUCAUGGUGGGGGACGGGGCCGCCAGGCGUUCUUUCAAUGCACCAUAUUUCAGGGCCCCCACUCAUAACCGGGACUUAUGACAAUCUAACACUAACCCUUCCCCACAAGCAGUAGGGAGAAGACUAUUUCUUUGCCUUUACUUUUCAUUAUUUGAAAUCUGUUCCAAGUCCUCAGCAAUAUGUAAUAUUGAGG